RNAcentral lists this ribosomal RNA (200 nucleotides) under uncultured bacterium. RNAcentral describes it as "partial 16S ribosomal RNA". It matches the Rfam family "Bacterial small subunit ribosomal RNA", at positions 318 to 508 of the family's 1533-position model. The record is from RNAcentral.
ACUGAGACACGUGCUCGAACUCCUACGGGAGGCAGCAGUGGGGAAUCUUCCGCAAUGGGCGCAAGCCUGACGGAGCAAACGCCGCGUGAGUGAAGAAGGGUUUCGACUCGUAAAGCUCUGUUGUCGGGGACGAAUGUGGAGAUGGUGAAUAACCAUUUCAAUGACGGUACCUGACGAGGAAGCCACGGCUAACUACGUGC